RNAcentral lists this ribosomal RNA (442 nucleotides) under uncultured bacterium. Its description in RNAcentral is "partial 16S ribosomal RNA". It matches the Rfam family "Bacterial small subunit ribosomal RNA", at positions 338 to 795 of the family's 1533-position model. The record is from RNAcentral.
CCUACGGGUGGCAGCAGUAGGGAAUCUUUCACAAUGGGCGAAAGCCUGAUGGAGCAACGCCGCGUGCAGGAUGAAGGCCUUCGGGUUGUAAACUGCUUUUAUAAGCGAGAAAGAUGAUGGUAACUUAUGAAUAAGGAUCGGCUAACUACGUGCCAGCAGCCGCGGUCAUACGUAGGAUCCGAGCAUUAUCCGGAGUGACUGGGUGUAAAGAGUUGCGGAGGUGGCGUAAUAAGUAGCUAGUGAAAUCUGGUGGCUCAACCAUUCAGACUGGUAGCUAAACUGUUAAGCUCGAGACCGUUAGAGGUAACUGGAAUUUCUAGUGUAGGAGUGAAAUCCGUAGAUAUUAGGAGGAACACCAAUGGCGUAGGCAGGUUACUGGGACGGUUCUGACACUGAGGCACGAAAGCGUCGGGAGCAAACAGGAUUAGAUACCCUUGUAGUC